RNAcentral lists this ribosomal RNA (113 nucleotides) under Pteropus alecto (black flying fox). The record is from RNAcentral. Lineage: Eukaryota; Metazoa; Chordata; Mammalia; Chiroptera; Pteropodidae.
GUCUACAGCCAUGCCACCCUGAACAAGCCCGUCUGAUCUCGGACGCUAAGCAGGGUCGGGCCUGGUUAGUACUUGGAUGGGAGACCACCUAGGAAGACCAGGUGCUGUAGGUG